GACGAACGCUGGCGGCAUGCCUAACACAUGCAAGUCGAACGAGACCUUCGGGCCUAGUGGCGCACGGCGGCGUACCGCCUGGGGACUUGCACUUAAGUACGGUAUAAUUCCCUUAAAGGGGUCUUAAGACCGGUUAAGCUCUUCCGACCAAGGAUCUGGCGCUGGGGGAUGGGCUCGCGGCGGUUUAGCUGGUUGGUGGGGUAGCGGCCUACCAUGGCGAUGAUGGGUAGCUGGUCUGAGAGGAUGACCGGACACACUGGGACGGAGAUAAGGCCGAGACGACUACGGGAUGCAGCAGUGGGGAAUAGUGCACAAUGGGCGGAAGGCGGAUGCAGCAACGCCGCGUGCGGGAUGACGGCCGUCGGGUUGUAAACCGCUUGCGCCUGUGACGAAGCGUGAGUGACGGUAAUGGGUAAAGAAGCACCGGCUAACUACGUG
Molecule: ribosomal RNA, 438 nt
Filed under: uncultured bacterium
Lineage: Bacteria
Description: partial 16S ribosomal RNA
Rfam family: Bacterial small subunit ribosomal RNA
Source: RNAcentral